GACGAACGCUGGCGGCGUGCUUAACACAUGCAAGUCGAACGGAAAGGCCCUGCUUUUGUGGGGUGCUCGAGUGGCGAACGGGUGAGUAACACGUGAGUAACCUGCCCUUGACUUUGGGAUAACUUCAGGAAACUGGGGCUAAUACCGGAUAGGAGCUCCUGCUGCAUGGUGGGGGUUGGAAAGUUUCGGCGGUUGGGGAUGGACUCGCGGCUUAUCAGCUUGUUGGUGGGGUAGUGGCUUACCAAGGCUUUGACGGGUAGCCGGCCUGAGAGGGUGACCGGCACAAUGGGACUGGGGUACGGCCCAGGCCGCUACGGGGGGCAAGAGUGGGGGAUAUUGGACAAUGGGGCGAAGCCUGAAUCAAGAACGCCGGGGGGGGGAAGACCGCCUUCGGGUUGUAAACCGCUUUCGCCUGUGACGAAGCGUGAGUGACGGUAAUGGGUAAAGAAGCACCGGCUAACUACGUG
This 467-nucleotide ribosomal RNA is filed under the name uncultured bacterium. RNAcentral describes it as "partial 16S ribosomal RNA". It matches the Rfam family "Bacterial small subunit ribosomal RNA", at positions 28 to 507 of the family's 1533-position model. The record is from RNAcentral.